This 74-nucleotide transfer RNA is filed under the name Desmophyllum pertusum. RNAcentral's name for it is "tRNA-Thr". Lineage: Eukaryota; Metazoa; Cnidaria; Anthozoa; Scleractinia; Caryophylliidae. The record is from RNAcentral.
GUUUGCUGUAGCUCAGUGGUAGAGCAUCCGGCCGGUGUGCGGAAGGUCAUAGUUCGACUCCUGUUGUAGUUGUA